Molecule: long non-coding RNA, 285 nt
Organism: Eleginops maclovinus (Patagonian blennie)
Lineage: Eukaryota; Metazoa; Chordata; Actinopteri; Perciformes; Eleginopidae
Exons: 3
Source: RefSeq, a predicted model, not a curated record
UAGUGGCUUUCUGGAAGUGCAGUAGAUUGAGUCUGCUGGAAUUUUGAGAAAUACCAUUAAAACUGAAGAAACAACAUCAGAGUUAUGAAUGGGCAGUCUCCCCUCUUCAGAUACACAGCAGUCCCUUAGAAGAGGGAGUGGACCCAGGAUAUUCAACAUGUUCUACUGUACCAUCAACACUGGAGCCAAAAAUCCAUGAGCUGGAUUAUGACAAUAACUCACAGACACGCUUCAGAGCCCAGUGUAACCCUUCAGCAUUAACCAUUUUAAGUGAAGUGACUAAGC